Molecule: long non-coding RNA, 218 nt
Organism: Centropristis striata (black sea bass)
Lineage: Eukaryota; Metazoa; Chordata; Actinopteri; Perciformes; Serranidae
Exons: 2
Source: RefSeq, a predicted model, not a curated record
GGCUGCUGCUUGGUCUUGUGUGGGACAUAUGGCAACGGGUGAAGUCGCUUUUUUCCUGGAAAUAGAAAUUACUGUCUGCAGUGGAACUGAACCAUUAAUGCGUCUUCCAUCAGAAGCUGCAACUCUCUAUCAACCUGCUGCUUCACCUCAUUAUUAAUGUACAUAUUAUGAAGAUAAUUUAAUCAUACUAGAAAACAACAAUGUAAAAAUAAAAAUAA